AGUCGAGCGGUAACAGAUCUAGCUUGCUAGAUGCUGACGAGCGGCGGACGGGUGAGUAAUGCAUAGGAAUCUGCCCGGUAGUGGGGGAUAACCUGGGGAAACCCAGGCUAAUACCGCAUACGUCCUACGGGAGAAAGGGGGCUUCGGCUCCCGCUAUUGGAUGAGCCUAUGUCGGAUUAGCUAGUUGGUGAGGUAAAGGCUCACCAAGGCAACGAUCCGUAGCUGGUCUGAGAGGAUGAUCAGCCACAUCGGGACUGAGACACGGCCCGAACUCCUACGGGAGGCAGCAGUGGGGAAUAUUGGACAAUGGGGGCAACCCUGAUCCAGCCAUGCCGCGUGUGUGAAGAAGGCCCUCGGGUUGUAAAGCACUUUCAGCGAGGAAGAACGCCUAGCGGUUAAUACCCGUUAGGAAAGACAUCACUCGCAGAAGAAGCACCGGCUAACUCCGUGCCAGCAGCCGCGGUAAUACGGAGGGUGCAAGCGUUAAUCGGAAUUACUGGGCGUAAAGCGCGCGUAGGUGGCUUGAUAAGCCGGUUGUGAAAGCCCCGGGCUCAACCUGGGAACGGCAUCCGGAACUGUCAGGCUAGAGUGCAGGAGAGGAAGGUAGAAUUCCCGGUGUAGCGGUGAAAUGCGUAGAGAUCGGGAGGAAUACCAGUGGCGAAGGCGGCCUUCUGGACUGACACUGACACUGAGGUGCGAAAGCGUGGGUAGCAAACAGGAUUAGAUACCCUGGUAGUCCACGCCGUAAACGAUGUCGACCAGCCGUUGGGUGCCUAGAGCACUUUGUGGCGAAGUUAACG
Molecule: ribosomal RNA, 800 nt
Filed under: Halomonas sp. Mg4
Lineage: Bacteria; Pseudomonadati; Pseudomonadota; Gammaproteobacteria; Oceanospirillales; Halomonadaceae
Description: bacterial SSU rRNA
Rfam family: Bacterial small subunit ribosomal RNA
Source: RNAcentral